UUUAGUUUUUUGAGGAAUCUCCACACUGUUUUCCAUAAUAGCUGCACCAAAUUGCAUUCCCAACUAGAGUGUAGGAGAGUUCCCUUUUCUCCACACCCUCUCCAGCAUUUAUCAUUCAUGGAUGUUUUUAAUGAUGACCACUCUGACUGGGUGAGGUGAUACCUCAUUGUAGUUUUGACUAGCAUU
Molecule: non-coding RNA, 186 nt
Organism: Vicugna pacos (alpaca)
Lineage: Eukaryota; Metazoa; Chordata; Mammalia; Artiodactyla; Camelidae
Source: RefSeq, a predicted model, not a curated record